RNAcentral lists this long non-coding RNA (1232 nucleotides) under Equus caballus (horse). RNAcentral describes it as "lncRNA (ENSECAG00000060032.1)". Lineage: Eukaryota; Metazoa; Chordata; Mammalia; Perissodactyla; Equidae. The record is from RNAcentral.
ACACGAGUGGAGUUUAGGACUUGUCAUUCAUUGGACUGCUGUCAGAGAUCUGAAUGUUCAUUUCUCUGCUGGCUUCUUUAUUCGCUGACACUGGCAGAGAAAGGACACAAGAGGGCGCUCCUUCCCCUCCUAUAUGAGUCCAGGGAGCUGCACCUUUUCUGCCCGUUUAGGGGUCUCUUAAAAAUUCAGACCUGACUGACGUCGGUGAAACAUAUUUUUUACUACUAUUGGGGAAUUUUGAAUAUUUAUACUAGCACCCUUAGGGAAAUAUUUAUGCAGCUCAGGUCUUUGAUUCCAAUCAAAUCAAUCAAACAAAUAAUCGUAGUCAGUUUUUGAAGAACUUACAGUCUAAAGAAGAAACAUGUAUUUUAAAAAGUAACCAACCAGUUUACCCCCAUUAGCAUGGCUGUUAUAGAAAACACAAAAUAACAAAUGUUGGGAAGGAUGCAGAGAAAUUGGAAACUUUGUACAUUGCUGGUGGGAAUAUAAAUUGGCAGCUGUUAUGGAAAACAGUAUGGAGAUUCCUUAAAAAACUAAACAUAGAAUUAUUACAUGAUCCGGCAAUUCCACUUCUGGGUAUAGACCCAAAAGAGUUGAAAGCAGGGAUUCGAAGAGAUGUUUGUACACCCAUGUUCCUAGCAUUAUUAUUUACGAUAGCCAAAAGGUGGGAACAACCCAAGUGUCCACUGACAGACGAAUGGAUAACUAAAUGUAGUAUAUACAUUGGAACAUGUAUAUACGUGUUCAUACAACGUACAUGGUGGAAUGUAUGUACGUACAAUGUAUAUGUAUGUAAUACAAGUACAUACAAUAGACUAAUAUUCAGCCUUAAAAAGGAAGGAAUUUCUGACACAUGCUACAACAUGGAUGAAGCUUGAGGAUAUUAGGCUAAGUAAAAUAAGCCAGACACAAAAGGACAAAUACAGUAUGAUUUCCCUACCUGGAGCAGUCAAAUUCAAAGAGAGGGAAAGUAGAACAGAGAUUGCCAGAGGCUGUGGAGAGGGGAAAAUUGGGAGUUAGUGUUUAGUGGGUACGGAGUUUCAGUUUGGGAAAAUGGACGGUGGUGAUGGUUGCACAACAGUGUGAAUGUACUUAAUGCCACUGAACUGCACACUUAAAAAUGGUUAAGAUAAUGAAUUUUGUUAUGUGUUUUUUACCACAAUAAAGAAGAGAAUAAAGAGAGAAAAAAGCAACCAAAAUGUGUAGUUAUCAGUACUAAAAUAGAGGCAAGC